This 80-nucleotide non-coding RNA is filed under the name Lutispora thermophila. RNAcentral's name for it is "Glycine sequence". It matches the Rfam family "Glycine riboswitch aptamer", at positions 9 to 86 of the family's 94-position model. Rfam says of the family: This family represents the bacterial glycine riboswitch. Glycine riboswitches usually consist of two metabolite-binding aptamers domains with similar structures in tandem. The record is from RNAcentral. RNAcentral also lists the same sequence under 1 other name. Lineage: Bacteria; Bacillati; Bacillota; Clostridia; Lutisporales; Lutisporaceae.
CUCUGAAAAGUCCUUUAAAUAGGCACCGUAGGAGAAAGCCAUGGUUGAUGAUGGCGAUACUCUCAGGUAAGCAAACAGAG